UACCAAAUUUUAUUUUUUUGAACAUUUAUUAAAUUAUAUUUGGAAACUGACAAAUUAGCCCUUGCAAGCUAGGGUUUCCUUGGUUAAUUUUUGGGGUACUUGCAAUUUUCAUAUGAGAGUCAAUUUUAACCUUUACAUUAUUUACAAUACGAGAAGGAAACAGGAGAGGACUCGCCCAAGAUCUCUCACAUCCCUAAUCUCUACAUUGUUUGUCGAAAUGUGCAAGGUCAGCAAUAACCAUCACCACACAAGCCACAGCCUCAGAAGAAAUUUCCAUUACAUUUUCAGGUUGGGGCUAAUUUGGUAUUCCCAGUUAUGCAAUGAAACAAGAAACCAGGUCGUGAAAGAAAGUUUAAUGCUUUGUGGCUCUAUUUUAUUGGGAUGAGAUUUUUAGGAAGAUUGACAGUUCUUAUGUUCAUCAGUUAUUCUUCUUCCCCAAAUUGAAAUAUGUCCAACUACGGGAGUAGAAGGUGAGAGAAUAAAAAAUAGAAUUGGAUACUGCUGCAUGCUAGCCUUUCACAAUCAAAUUAAACAAUCAAUGGCGGCUUUUGUGUGGAGUAAAUUCUCCAAUGAGAUCCUUUUAUGGCUUCUUGAGGUUAGUUUUCGACCUUCUGGUUAUCUUUUUCGCUUAUUAGGAUUUUGUAAAGCCUUUUCUGGUUAAGAAAAUCUUAAACUACACUUCCGAUUGAUGUAGUGGAGCAAGUUUAACAUGCCAUGAUUUUCUUUUAGAAUCAAUCUCAAAGGUGAAGUAUGACACGAGCUUCACAAAAUCAUGCUUUUAUACAUUCCCUUUAAUCUGAAAAGAGAAUAUCUCAUGCUAAGUAGUUUGAUUCUCUUUCACUUAAUUUAAACUAGGCAUCAGAUUCCAUCUACAGAAGAUUUAUAUCUUGCAGAAAGAGAAAAGAAUGUCUAUGGUUUUUGCACCACUGAAUUGUAAGUUUCUUACUUACCAAAAAAAAAAAGUGACAAAUACAUGGUUAAUACUGAAAAUCUGAAAUUACACUUUCCUUUGAGGUAGUGCGACAAGUUAACCUGCCGUGAUUUUCUUUUAGAGUCAAUCUCAAAGGCAUCAGUUUCCAUCUACAGAAUAUUUAUAUCAUGCAGAAAGAGAAAAGAAUGUCUAUCAUUUGUGCACUGUUGAAGUGACAAAUCAAUGGUUAAUACUGAAAAUCUGAAAUUACACUUCCCGUUGAUGUAGUGGAGCAAGUUUAACCUGCCAUGAUGUUCUUUUAGAAUCAAUCUCAAAGGACAAAUCAAUGGUUAAUACUGAAAAUCUGAAAUUACACUUCCGGUUGAUGUAGUGGAGCAAGUUUAACCUGCCAUGAUGUUCUUUUAGAAUCAAUCUCAGAGGUGAAGUAUGAUACGAGCUUCACAAAAUCAUGCUUUUCUACAUUCCUUUAAAUCUGAAAAAAGAAUAUCUCAUUCUAAGUAAUUUGAUUCUCUUUCAUUUAAUUUAAGCUAGGCAGCGGUUUCCAUUUACAAAAAAUUUAUAUCAUCCAGAAAGAGAAAAUAAUGUCGAUCAUUUGUGCACCACUGAAGUGUAAGUUUCUUUUCCCGAUUUCAAUCCAACAUUGUGUGACUGGUUGAACUUUUUGCAUGCAGGACAGGUCCAUGGUUAAUACUGAAAAUCUGAAAUUGCACUUCCCUCUGAUGUAGUGGAACAAGUUUAACCUGCCUUGGUUUUCUUUUAGAAUCAAUCUCAAAGGCAUCAGUUUCCAUCUACAGAAGAUUCAUAUUAUGCAGAAAGAGAAAGGAAUGUCUAUCAUGUUUGCACCAUUUAAGUUCACUGAUGAAGCACUAGAACUACUUAAGGCCAUAACAAUGGCAGAAAGUUCAUUCAUGUUUGUGAAACAGAAGAAGUUGCAGUUGAUGAAACAAGCUCACGCACAUUUGUGGUAUGACAUUAGAUUGUUUGAUUGUGCACCAUUCACAAUACAGAGUUUAAUCUACAUUGGGAAGCUUUGCUGAUAAACUAAAAACUGAUCAAUUGAGGCCCCUACCUGCAAACAAAGCUCAAUUAGGACUACUGCCACAAGUUUCUUCGGCGAGAAGAACACUCUGAUGCUUAAAUGAUCAAAGCUGUUUUGAAUGGCGGAGAGAAAUGAGAUAUCUCAAUGAUUCAUUAGGCGAUACUCACCUGGUGUGACAUAUUGUGCAUCUUUCAUUAACAAUUGCGGACAACAGUUCUUUUUCUUUGUAUACAAGAAAGUAAAACUUUUUAUGCUUCUGCUAAAAUUAAUUAUGAAGUAGCAAAUACACAUUCUUGUUUGAUGAUAUUGAUUUGCUAUAUUCUUUCAUUGAAUUGUAACAUAUACAGAGUAGCU
Pistacia vera is the source of this 2324-nucleotide long non-coding RNA. RefSeq lists it as uncharacterized. Lineage: Eukaryota; Viridiplantae; Streptophyta; Magnoliopsida; Sapindales; Anacardiaceae. The transcript has 11 exons. The record is from RefSeq and is a predicted model, not a curated record.